GACGAACGCUGGCGGCGUGCCUAAUACAUGCCAGUAGAACGCACAGUUUAUACCGUAGCUUGCUACACCAUAGACUGUGAGUUGCGAACGGGUGAGUAACGCGUAGGUAACCUGCCUGGUAGCGGGGGAUAACUAUUGGAAACGCUAGCUAAUACCGCAUAAUAUUAAUUAUUGCAUGAUAAUUAAUUGAAAGGUGCAAUUGCACCACUACCAGAUGGACCUGCGUUGUAUUAGCUAGUAGGUGAGGUAACGGCUCACCUAGGCGACGAUACAUAGCCGACCUGAGAGGGUGAUCGGCCACACUGGGACGGAGACACGGCCCAGACUCCUACGGGAGGCAGCAGUAGGGAAUCUUCGGCAAUGGACGAAAGUCUGACCGAGCAACGCCGCGUGAGUGAAGAAGGUUUUCGGAUCGUAAAGCUCGGUUGUAAGAGAAGAACGGGUGUGAGAGUGGAAAGUUCACACUGUGACGGUAACUUACCAGAAAGGGACGGCUAACUACGUG
Molecule: ribosomal RNA, 505 nt
Filed under: uncultured bacterium
Lineage: Bacteria
Description: partial 16S ribosomal RNA
Rfam family: Bacterial small subunit ribosomal RNA
Source: RNAcentral